This 331-nucleotide unclassified non-coding RNA is filed under the name soil metagenome. RNAcentral describes it as "partial contains 5.8S ribosomal RNA, internal transcribed spacer 2, and large subunit ribosomal RNA". The stretch from base 1 to 120 matches the Rfam family "5.8S ribosomal RNA", at positions 35 to 154 of the family's 154-position model. The record is from RNAcentral.
GAUGAAGAACGUAGCGAAAUGCGAUAAGUAAUGUGAAUUGCAGAAUUCAGUGAAUCAUCGAAUCUUUGAACGCACAUUGCGCCCCCUGGUAUUCCGGGGGGCAUGCCUGUUCGAGCGUCAUUUCACCACUCAAGCCUCGCUUGGUAUUGGGCAACGCGGUCCGCCGCGUGCCUCAAAUCGACCCGCUGGGUCUUCUGUCCCCUAAGCGUUGUGGAAACUAUUCGCUAAAGGGUGUUCGGGAGGCUACGCCGUAAAACAACCCCAUUUCUAAGGUUGACCUCGGAUCAGGUAGGGAUACCCGCUGAACUUAAGCAUAUCAAUAAGCGGAGGA